AAGGCAUUUUUAAAGGUGUUUUUAAAAAUGCAUUGAAAGAAUUUUUCGAAAAAAGAGAAAGGGGAACAACUUUACCUUUCUCCUAAUCAUUUAAAAACUCAUAGUCAAUCACCUAAGAGUGAGAUCCAACUGAUGACUAAAAUCCAACAGAUUAGUCUGAAUAUUUCUGGUAAUGUGAACCUGACAUGACCAGAUAAUAACUGCAUUAUUUAAAAAAACAUUACUAGUAUCUACUGAAUAUUGGCUGAUAUCACAAUUUUCUUAUUACUUUCUGGAAAAAAAAUUUAAGAUACUUUUACCUGCUCUUUUAGGGACUAAACAAUUCUAUGUGUCACAAUUCAUGAAAACAGCAUUUUUUUUUCAUAUUUCUAGGUUGUUUGUCAACUGGUGAGCAAACACCCAUAAUGCUCCUUGGCAUCUAUCAAAAUAUUCUGAGUCGCUUGUAACAACAGAGCACUGAUCCAGGAAAGUUUAGACAUUACUAAGUAAACAGUGCACAGAUGUGGGUGCUGAAAAAUUAAUACCACACCACCUUCUGAUAAGCUGUUGCUCCAAAAAUGCUUCUGCAAAAACAGCAUGAAACAAGCCCAAAGCACAAAUAGUCAUGCAAUCACAACAUAAAUGAAUCAUAAAGCAUUAAAACAGAAAUGUCAAGCUCUGGCAUCAGGUACAAUUUGUGACAAAUUACUCAGCCUCACACCUAUUUCUUCAUGCCAUCUCACUGGUAGAGAGAAUACUGGAAGUAAGAGUAACUUGUCACCUUUUUUGAUGUUUGUAAUCUUCCUUCUUAUAUCUCAGAAAAAAAUCCACUUUCAUUCUGAAUGUUCAAAAUAAGUACUUACUAUUCUCAGAUAAGAUGUUCUAAUAAAGUACCAAUUUUAUCACAAAUGAAGGCCACGGGAACCCUAGGAGGUUGCUGCUGACAUCUAGUGGCAUAAUUUUUUCAAUGCUAAAUGUAUCACAAAUGUAUAUCCAGAGAGAGGGGAUAGAUGUACCACAAACAUAUGUCUUGCAAAGUCUAGUAGACAUCCUAUGCUACAAAUUAUUUGCUUCUGCUCACACCACUCUACCUCCAGUGACUCGCUUCCCCUUCCAAAAUAAUGCUACUGCUACAAAACUGGAGAAAUGAAAACCAACACAUCUGUUAAAGCCUUAAGAGAACUGAGUCCCCCAAAAUGCCUAGUCCAUUACGGAAUUGCCCCAAUUCCCAAAGGCUCUGCCCCAACCUCAGUAGUCUUAAUUUUAUCUCAACUUCCCAAAUAACCAGAGCCCUUCCCCAAACUCCACACCUAGCAUUUAGGUACUUUCAGGGUCAUGGUCUAAAGAGACUUGCUUAUAGAGCUGGGAUAUGUUAAUUCACAUUCAUACCCACAAACACACAUGCUCACACGGUCACGAAGUAUAAAAUAAUGCCAUUUGCAGCAACAUGGAUGGACCUAGAGAUUAUCAUACUAAGUGAAGUCAGUCAGACAGAAAAAGACAAAUACCAUAUGGUAUCACAUAUGUGGAAUCUAAAAUAUGACACAAAUAACCUAUCUAUGAAAUAACAAUUGACCCACAGAUACAGAGAACAAACUUGUGGUCGCCAAGGGGUGUAAGGGUGUAAGGGAGGAAUGGACUGGGAGUUUGGGAUUAGCAGAUGCAAACUAUUAUAUUAUAGAAUGGAUAAACAACAAGAUCCUACUGUAUAGCACAGGGAACUAUAUUCAAUAGCUUAUGAUAAAUCAUAAUGGGAAAGAAUAUGAAAAGUAUAUAUAUAUAUAUACACAUAUAUAUAUACAUAAGACUGAGUCACUUGCUAUAGAGCAGAAGUUCACACAGCAGUGUAAAUCAACUAUACUUCAAUAAAACUUUCAAAAAACGGUCAUGAACUCCCUGUGCAUGAGAUUCAAUAUUUAUUGAAAAUUUUAAAAUAGCUAUCAGGGACUGCUUUAAUGUUUCCAACCAUCCACAUGAACGAUGAAAUUGAGAUUGAUGUAAAAAAUGAUAAGAAGCAUAGAGAUAAUUUCUACAGGCAAGCAAAAAGAUUUACUCUAGAGCCUCUAUCCAUAUGCAGGUAUGUGCAGACAAGGGAUGUGUGUGUGCAGAACAAGAGCAAGACAAGUUCGGCACGCACCCCAUUCCCACGAAAGCACUUGUGAGUAUAAGAGGUAAACACCAAAUCGAUGAAUGAAUGAAUAAAUGAAUAAGGUGGCAAAUUACAAUAGAACUUUCCCCCUAUUGAUUCUGAUGUAAGGUAUGUUAUAUAGGCAGUGUUGUUUUGCUCUUUAGGCAAAAGUGCCUUUGUGGAGUAGUUCAGGUUAGAUUUUUCUCCCAUGACAUGUGCAAAGGAGCACAAAGCCAGUGCGUGAUUAAGUUGGGUAAUAUCCCUUUGGUUAAGGGAGUGUAUGUUCAUAAUUGGAAAUUAUUUGCUCUAUAAAUUGGUACAGUUGAAUUUAGAUUUUAUUCACAUUGAAAAGAUGUGAUAAAGGGAGAAGAGCUUCUCAAGUUGGUCCUAAUUUAGCAAUGUUUAAAUAAUACAAAACAUUGCUAAAUUAUAAUUCUCAUAGUACAAAGGCAUCUUCUGGCCGUUUAAAUAUUCGUUCAAUGGAAAUCUUAGAGACACGAGAAGCUCAUUCAUUCAAAGCCUGUCUACUUCACUCACAUGUGGGACUAAAAGUAGAUGACAGAAGAAUCUUUUUUACAAUCUCACUGAAGGAAAA
Molecule: long non-coding RNA, 2702 nt
Filed under: Sus scrofa (pig)
Lineage: Eukaryota; Metazoa; Chordata; Mammalia; Artiodactyla; Suidae
Description: lncRNA (ENSSSCG00000059144.1)
Source: RNAcentral